Molecule: ribosomal RNA, 274 nt
Filed under: uncultured bacterium
Lineage: Bacteria
Description: partial 16S ribosomal RNA
Rfam family: Bacterial small subunit ribosomal RNA
Source: RNAcentral
AUACGGAGGGUGCAAGCGUUGCUCGGAAUCACUGGGCGUAAAGCGCGCGCAGGCGGCUAUUUAAGUUGGAUGUGAAAGCCUACGGCUCAACCGUAGAACUGCAUCCAAAACUAUUUAGCUAGAGUGUGGGAGAGGAAGAUGGAAUUAGUUGUGUAGGGGUAAAAUCCGUAGAGAUAACUAGGAAUACCAAAAGCGAAGGCAAUCUUCUGGAACACUACUGACGCUGAGGCGCGAAAGCGUGGGGAGCAAACAGGAUUAGAAACCCUAGUAGUCC